GGACGGGUCUCGUAUUGGGCAGGUCUGUGUGGGUCUACAUUCCGCAUCGGGGUACUUUCACUUUGAAUUCACCAAUUAUCUGAGUUGUAGGCUUAGGGGCCAAGCAGGUUUUCAUAACAGUUCCACAAAUUAAAACCAGCAGUUAAAUCCUCCUAUGUCCUACCUCCUCUAUUCUAAAAUAUUUCCUUCUUGGUGAUUCCUGUGUCAUCGUACAGCUUCCUCUCGGUCACCCCCUC
This is a non-coding RNA of Pelobates cultripes (western spadefoot toad), 236 nucleotides long. The record is from the annotation of a GenBank genome assembly. NCBI's taxonomy places the organism in Eukaryota, Metazoa, Chordata, Amphibia, Anura, Pelobatidae.